CCUACGGGGGGCUGCAGUGGGGAAUAUUGGACAAUGGGGGGAACCCUGAUCCAGCCAUGCCGCGUGUGUGAAGAAGGCCCUCGGGUUGUAAAGCACUUUCAGUGAGGAAGAACGCCUGGUGGUUAAUACCCAUCAGGAAAGACAUCACUCACAGAAGAAGCACCGGCUAACUCCGUGCCAGCAGCCGCGGUAAUACGGAGGGUGCGAGCGUUAAUCGGAAUUACUGGGCGUAAAGCGCGCGUAGGUGGCUUGAUAAGCCGGUUGUGAAAGCCCCGGGCUCAACCUGGGAACGGCAUCCGGAACUGUCAAGCUAGAGUGCAGGAGAGGAAGGUAGAAUUCCCGGUGUAGCGGUGAAAUGCGUAGAGAUCGGGAGGAAUACCAGUGGCGAAAGCGGCCUUCUGGACUGACACUGACACUGAGGUGCGAAAGCGUGGGUAGCAAACAGGAUUAGAUACCCCUGUAGUC
Molecule: ribosomal RNA, 465 nt
Filed under: Vreelandella stevensii
Lineage: Bacteria; Pseudomonadati; Pseudomonadota; Gammaproteobacteria; Oceanospirillales; Halomonadaceae
Description: partial 16S ribosomal RNA
Rfam family: Bacterial small subunit ribosomal RNA
Source: RNAcentral